CGACCCCAGGUCAGGCGGGAUCACCCGCUGAGUUUAAGCAUAUCAAUAAGCGGAGGAAAAUAAACUAACAAGGAUUCCCUUAGUAACGGCGAGCGAACCGGGAAGAGCCCAGCUUGAAAAUCGGACGUCUUCGGCGUUCGAAUUGUAGUCUGGAGAAGCGUCCUCAGCGACGGACCGAGCCCAAGUUCCCUGGAAAGGGGCGCCAGAGAGGGUGAGAGCCCCGCC
This 225-nucleotide non-coding RNA is filed under the name Brassica napus (rape). RNAcentral's name for it is "Eukaryotic large subunit ribosomal RNA". It matches the Rfam family "Eukaryotic large subunit ribosomal RNA", at positions 1 to 225 of the family's 3401-position model. The record is from Rfam by way of RNAcentral. Lineage: Eukaryota; Viridiplantae; Streptophyta; Magnoliopsida; Brassicales; Brassicaceae.